GCCGCGUUUGUGACAGUCUCCCGUCCUCUCGUGGUCCAGCGCUGGCAGGGUGGAGACUGAACGAAAGACUGGGCUGGAAGCACCGCGAGUGACCCUGGGAAAGGCUGUGGAAGGGUCAGAGAGCACGGUUCUUUGCACAGUUAGGGUUGAACAAAAAGUGGACUCCUUGAUACCAGUUGGUAUGGAUUUGACAAUUAGCGAUUCACAGUUGAACAAACUUUACCUCUUAGCGCUUCUCCUGGAUUGAAAUUCCGCUCUAACCUCCAGUAAAUCCUAACACUUUCACCGGAGUGGCCAGAAGAUAACUUGCCACGUUUUUUCAAAGGUUUUCAGGGAUGAGCUCUUAACCCUUUGGGGAAGGACCUUCGGGCAAGUUUACACACGGAACUGCAAAGUUAAUCUCCCCGCCCUCCUUGGUCAGACAAGUCCACGGAGGUGGUAGCAGAACGGAACGACGGCUGUAACUGAUCAUCUAAAGUAACUAACGGUCUGCGAACAAAUUCUUCCUGUUUCAGCUUUGAACACUUCGCCACACACCAACCCUCAGUGCAGCGAAAAUCAUGGUGUUUAUUUAGAUAACGACUGAGUACUUAUAAAACUUAAACUUUCAAAUGUAAGAGUGAACUCCUUGGUAAGGACUCCUGGCUACAUCAACAAAGCAAUGUAAUGCCUGAUUAAUAGUGCUGAUUAAUGUUGGCUCAGGUUAAUGCUGAGCCCAUUACAAUAAUUAGAUGGUUCAGCCAUGUAUCAAACGAGAGUCAAUGAAAAAUUAUUUAGGACUUUGAGACGUUCUCAUACAUCUUCCAAAGAUCUAUGAUGGACUUUAUGGGUCAUUUGUAACUAUCACUGGUUGAUAGCUGUCCUGAGCAACAAAAACUUGACUUAAAAAUAAGUCGUAGGUGGGGUAACAGUGUAUUUUUGAGCCUCUGUAAUUGAUAAGGGGAGUAAUGAAACGUUUGGAAACGUGAAAACUGCUUGAUCCAUAAUAUGAUAUACACAAGGGCAGCUGAUGAUUGUUCCUACAUAAAGCCAUUGAUUUUUGAUCCUCAGUUCUUGUCAAGUGAUCAUUUUAAUCAGGAAGCUAAAAUUUUGAGGCAAGGUCCCCACUUUGAAAUAAAAGUGUUUUAGGAAAUGCAAAAGUCCAAAAGGUAUGGCUAUGUAUGAAUUCCACAAACUAUUAGGAUUUUCCCACUAGCCAAAAUAAAAUCAGCUGGUGACAAAGAUAGGUGUACUUAAAAUACCAUCGUAUUUGAAAUAUUUCCACUACCUUGUCACCUGAAAAGGAAAAUUGGGCUGAACAGAACUUGAAUCUUCUUUUAAAAAAUUAUUUCGUUUCUUCUCACCAGUACCUAUUGGAAAUAUUUAGUGGAUUAAAAAAAUUUUUUUUUCUAAAGCUGGUGUGAAAGUCUUUAUCAUUGUAGUUUCUAUUAUUAAGCCUGGCUGAGUAGAGAUAUGUGUACACGUUUAGUAAUUUAUUUCGAGAUUACUGUGGAGUGUUGAUUAGAACGUUCCUCUUAUUGAUAACUAUAGAAUCCCUUACCCCAUUAUGAAAGAACUUUUAAAAGUCGUUCCUAGAUGCAUUUUUCUGGUGUGUAUUUGGGUUUUCACUAAAAAUUUCUAUUC
Molecule: long non-coding RNA, 1623 nt
Organism: Globicephala melas (long-finned pilot whale)
Lineage: Eukaryota; Metazoa; Chordata; Mammalia; Artiodactyla; Delphinidae
Source: RefSeq, a predicted model, not a curated record